RNAcentral lists this long non-coding RNA (651 nucleotides) under Cercocebus atys (sooty mangabey). RNAcentral describes it as "lncRNA (ENSCATG00000045600.1)". The record is from RNAcentral. Lineage: Eukaryota; Metazoa; Chordata; Mammalia; Primates; Cercopithecidae.
UACCAGCGUCUUAGUGGUUUACAACAACCCUCACUUCCUGUUUUUGUUCACAGGUCUGCAAGACAGCUUUGGUUCAGCUGAUUGCAGCCAGGCUUACCCUGACUUUGCCGGGUGCUGUGAACCCCAGCCUUCAGGUCGAGUUCAGUGCUCUACUCAACGUUUGCUAGUGGUGGCCCCCUCCACCUUGUGUGUGUAGUAUGUCCAAGCCAUCUCUUGGCAGCCAGGACCAUCGGCACACUAGCAAGUUCACGGACUCAGGUGUGUGUCUCUGGGCGUGCCUCUGAUCCUUCUAUCCUGCCCACACCUCUGAAACUCUCUGCAUUUGAACCUCCUGUAUUGGAUUCUGUUUCCUGCUGGGGUGUCGAUGGGUGGGAUUUGUUCAUUCAUGAUUUUUCAGCCCCAUUUGUCUUCUGUCUGUUUGUCCCAGGCACCUGGGGGAAUCACUCCUACCUAAUGGAGAGGGAAGGGAGUCCAUGAUUAUGGAAUGAUGUGAUAAACAAAACAUGAAAGGAGAGAGGGAUUACUUCUCCCUCUGAUCCCAAGGAAGGCUGCCUGGAGGGGGAAGCACUGGUGUUGUACGGGGAGCAGAGUUUGGUGAGUGAAGAAGGGGUGGAAUAGGAUAAAAACCACAGCAAAGAGCUCUCAAAGCAA